GGGCCCGCACAAGCGGUGGAGUAUGUGGUUUAAUUCGAAGCAACGCGCAGAACCUUACCAGCCCUUGACAUGUUAGGUUUGAUUACCAGAGAUGGUUUUCUUCAGUUCGGCUGGCCUAAACACAGGUGCUGCAUGGCUGUCGUCAGCUCGUGUCGUGAGAUGUUGGGUUAAGUCCCGCAACGAGCGCAACCCUCAUCUUCUGUUGCCAGCGGUUCGGCCGGGCACUCUGGAGAAACUGCCUGCGAUGAGCAGGAGGAAGGCGGGGAUGACGUCAAGUCCUCAUGGCCCUUAUGGGCUGGGCUACACACGUACUACAAUGGCGUGACAAUGGGCAGCGACAGGGCGACCUGAAGCAAAUCCCAAAAACCGUCCCAGUUCGGAUUGCACUCUGCAACUCGAGUGCAUG
This 406-nucleotide ribosomal RNA is filed under the name uncultured bacterium. RNAcentral's name for it is "bacterial SSU rRNA". It matches the Rfam family "Bacterial small subunit ribosomal RNA", at positions 917 to 1322 of the family's 1533-position model. The record is from RNAcentral.